GUGGGGAAUAUUGGACAAUGGGCGAAAGCCUGAUCCAGCCAUGCCGCGUGUGUGAAGAAGGUCUUCGGAUUGUAAAGCACUUUAAGUUGGGAGGAAGGGCAGUAAGUUAAUACCUUGCUGUUUUGACGUUACCGACAGAAUAAGCACCGGCUAACUUCGUGCCAGCAGCCGCGGUAAUACGAAGGGUGCAAGCGUUAAUCGGAAUUACUGGGCGUAAAGCGCGCGUAGGUGGUUCAGCAAGUUGAAGGUGAAAUCCCCGGGCUCAACCUGGGAACUGCCUCCAAAACUACUGAGCUAGAGUACGGUAGAGGGUAGUGGAAUUUCCUGUGUAGCGGUGAAAUGCGUAGAUAUAGGAAGGAACACCAGUGGCGAAGGCGACUACCUGGACUGAUACUGACACUGAGGUGCGAAAGCGUGGGGAGCAAACAGGAUUAGAAACCCUAGUAGUC
This 449-nucleotide ribosomal RNA is filed under the name uncultured bacterium. RNAcentral's name for it is "bacterial SSU rRNA". It matches the Rfam family "Bacterial small subunit ribosomal RNA", at positions 354 to 795 of the family's 1533-position model. The record is from RNAcentral.